This 35611-nucleotide long non-coding RNA is filed under the name Triticum aestivum (bread wheat). RNAcentral describes it as "long non-coding RNA (TAES_LNC014040)". The record is from RNAcentral. Lineage: Eukaryota; Viridiplantae; Streptophyta; Magnoliopsida; Poales; Poaceae.
UUUUUUUUGAGUUGUACCGAGGAGAAGACCACAAUGAAAAUGUUGAGUGGCUCUCAUAUGAAUAAUUGUUGAACUAAUAAAGAUCACAUUUUACCUUGUCUUCUCCUAUUGAAUAAAAUGUUUGCAGAUUCCAGCUUAGUCCAUGGCACUCUUGCACUAUUAUUAUUUUCAUAUCGUUUGGUCGUGCAAGUGAAAGGCAAUAAUGACGAUAUUUGAUGAACAGGCCGUGGCAGAGAGAAACUGGUAUGAACUCGACUUGUUCUGUUUGUGUAAAUAUGUUUAACCUAGUAUCCAUGAUUCAGCUCAUUAUGAUUAAACAUGUUUGCAAUGACAAUUAGAGAUUAUAGUUUCUCAUGCCAUGCAUAAGUAGCUAGGAGUGGAUAAUGAUUUAUCUUGGAUAUCAACAUUGCGUUACAAUGAUUGUGAUGUAGUAUGAUGAUAUGGUAUCCUCCUCUGAAUGUUCGAGUGGCUUGACUUGGCACAUGUUCAUGCAUGUAGUUGAAUUAAAACCAACAUAGCCUCUAUAAUAUUUAUGUUGAUGGUGUUCAUAUCCUACUCAUGCUAGUGUCAGAUGUGACUUAUGCAUAAUGCAUGUUUAUGACCGUUGUUUUUCUCUAGCUGGCCGCUUCUCAAUCAAAUUGCUAGCCUUCGGCUGUACUAAGUGGGGACUCUGCUUGUACAUCAAAAACCUUGAACCCAAAGUUAUUCCAGAUGAGUCCACCAUACCUACCUAUAUGCGGUAUUACCCUGCCGUCCUAAGUAAAUUUGCAUGUGCCACCUCUAAAAACUUCUAAAUAAAUAUCCUUUUUGUGUGCGUGGAUCAUUCAUGGAACGACAAGAGGUGGUCGGUAUCUUCCAUGGUAAGCGGGUUAUUCUCAGGUCAAGUGUUUAUUCACUCGCCAUCGCACGAGAAUAGGGCGGUAAUAGGGAUUCCCAGUCCCGAACUAAAAAUGCAAAUAAUUAAACAAAACUCCCCCGGGACUGUUGUUGGUUUGGACGGCCCCCGUUGUUUCGGACAAGCCGUGGAAUGUGAUUGUUGGUGGAGGGGGAGUGAACCUUUACUUGUAUCGCUUAGGAACCGCCACUAGCGUGGUUAGCAUGGAAGAUAUUGAUAACUGAUGGUCGUGAAGUAAAUGAGAAGGGUGCAUGUCUCAGAAUAUCAUUUAUCUCUGUUUUAAAAACUUGAGCUCUGGCACCUCUGCAAAUCACUGCUUCCCUCUGCGCAGGGACUAUCUAUUUACUUUUAUGUUGUGCCAUCACCCUCUAAAACAAGCGCUAGAACCUGAGAGCACAGCUGUCAUGACUUAUGCAUUGUGUGUAGCUAAUGUUGGGUGCAUCAUGACUGGAUCUUUUCUACCAUGAAUUACAAUGUUUAGUCGCUGCUUGAACUUUGGAGGUGCUCUGCAUUUAUGUUUUGCGGUCUCAGAAAGGGCUAGCGAGAUACCACUAUUGUCAUAUUAUAUCAUGGUUGUUUUGACAACGUGUUGCUGUUUGAGAUAUCUUAUUAUUGCUCGCUAGCUGAUUAUGUCAUUGAUAUGAGUUAAUAUAAUUUAUAAGAGUUAUUGUCGGCAUGGUUAGUUAUAAUAUUGGCUGAAAACCUAGGUGCUGUUUUAGCUUAUUUAUGCAAACAAGAGCAAAAGAGUUCGUAGAAGUUUUUCUUUUUCACUUUCAGUUUAUCAACUGAAUUGCGUGAGGACAAGCAAAGGUUUAAGCUUGGGGGAGUUGAUACGUCUCCAACGUAUCUACUCUUCCUAACGAUUUUCCUCUUGUUUUGGACUCUAAUUUGCAUGAUUUGAAUGAAACUAACCCCGGACUGACGUUGUUUUCAGCAGAACUACCACGGUGUUGUUUUUGUGCAAAAAUAAAAGUUCUCAGAAUGGAACGAAACUUCGCAAGGAAUUUUUAUAUAAUAAAUAAGAAUUUCUGGAGCCAAGACCUGCUGGAGAGGGGCACCUGGGUGGGCACAACCCACCAGGGCGCGCCCCCCUCUCCUGGCGCGCCCAGGUGGGUUGUCCCCACCUGGUGGCCCCGCAAACCCUAAAACCGACGCUAUAAAAUCCUAUUUUUCCAGAAAAAAGCAAGGAGAAAGAAUCAUCGCGAUCCACGAGACGGAGCCGCCGUCACCUCCUGUUCUUCAUCUGGAGGCCAGAUCUGGAGUCCGUUUGGGCCUCCGGAGAGGGGGGUCUUCGUUCUUCAUCAUCACCAACCCUUCUCCAUCGCCAAUUCCAUGAUGCUCCCCACCGGGAGUGAGUAAUUCCUUCAUAGGCUCGCUGGUCGGUGAGGAGUUGGAUGAGAUUCAUCAUGUAAUCGAGUUAGUUUUGUUAGGUCUUGAUCCCUAGUACCCACUAUGUUCACAGAUUGAUGUUGCUAUGACUUUGUUAUGCUUAAUGCUUGUCACUUUGGGCCCGGGUGCCAUGAACUCAUAUCUGAACCGUUUAUGCUAUCAUAAUUAUAUCCAUGUUUUAGAUCCAAUCUUGCAAGUUAUAGUCACCUGCUACAUGUUAUGAUCCGGCAACCCCGGAGUGACAAUAGCAGGGACCACUCCCGGUGAUGACCGUAGUUUGAGGAGUUCAUGUAUUCACUAUGUGUUAAUGCUUUGUUCCGGUUCUCUAUUAAAAGGAGGCCUUAAUAUCCCUUGGUUUCCAAUAUGAACCUCGCUGCCACGGGAGGGUAAGACAAAAGAUGUCAUGCAAGUUCUUUCCAUAAGCACGUAUGACUAUUUAUGGAAUACAUGCCUACAUUAUAUCGAUGAACUGGAGCUAGUGUCGUAUCGCCCUAGGUUAUAAUUGUCUUGUGAUGAAUAUCAUCCAACAAGUCACCGAUCCAAUGCCUACGAAUUUAUCCUAUAUUGUUUCUGCUAAGUUACUACUGCUAUCAUCAUUGUUACACUUGCUACAAAAUUACUGCUAUCACUGUUACCGGUACCGUUGCUACUGUCACUACUAUCAAAACUAUCAUAUUACUUUGCUACUGAUUACUUGCUGCAGAUAAUUAAUCUCCAGGUGUGGUUGAAUUGACAACUCAGCUGCAAAUACCUUCAAAUAUUCUUUGGCUCCCCUUGUGUCGAAUCUAUAAUUUGGGUUGAAUACUCUACCCUCAAAAACUGUUGCGAUCCCCUAUACUUGUGGGUUAUUAAAGGUGUACAAAAUUGUUUCCUUUGGGUAUCCUAUGAAGACGCACUUCUCCGAUUUGGGUUCGAGCUUAUCAGGCUAAAGCCUUUUGACAUAAGUGUUACAACCCUAAACUUUAAGAAACGACAUCUUAGGUUUCUUGCCAAACCACAGUUCAUACGGUGCCGUCUCAAUGGAUUUAGACGGUGACCUAUUUAACAUGAAUGCGGGUGUCUCUAAUGCAUAACCCCAAACCGAUAGUGGUAAAUCGGUAAGAGACAUCAUAGAUCGCACCAUAUCUAAUAAAGUACGCUUACGACGUUCGGACACACCAUUACGCUGUGGUGUUCCAGGUGGCGUGAGUUGUGAAACUAUUCCACAUUGUUUUAAAUGAAGGCCAAACUCAUAACCCAAAUAUUCGCUUCCACAAUCAGAUCGUAGAAACUUUAUUUUCUUGUUACGAUGAUUCUCCACUUCAUUCUGAAAUUCUUUGAACUUUUCAAAUGUUUCAGACUUGUGUUUUAUUAAGUAGAUAUACCCAUAUCUGCUCAAAUCAUUUGUAAAGGUCAGAAAAUAACGAUACCCAUCACGUGCCUCAAUACUCAUCGGACCGCAUACAUCGGUAUGUAUUAUUUCUAGUAAGUCAUUUGCUCGCUCCAUUGUUCCGGAGAACGGAGUUUUAGUCAUCUUGCCCAUGAGGCAUGGUUCGCAAGUAUCAAAUGAUUCAUAAUCAAGUGAUUCCAAAAUCACAUCUGCAUGGAGUUUCUUCAUGCGCUUUACACCAAUAUGACCUCAACGGUAGUGCCACAAGUAUGUGCACUAUCAUUAUUAACUUUGCAUCUUUUGGCAUCAAUAUUAUGAAUAUGUGUAUCACUAUGAUCGAGAUUCAAUAAACCAUUCACAUUGGUUGUAAGACCAUAGAAGGUUUUAUACAUGUAAACAGAACAACAAUUAUUCUCUGACUUAAAUGAAUAACUGCAUUGCAAUAAACAUGAUCCAAUCAUAUUCAUGCUCAACGCAAACACCAAAUAACAUUUAUUUAGGUUUCAACACUAAUCCCGAAGGUAGAGGGAGUGGCGAUGGUGAUCUUAUCAACCUUGGAAUCACUUCCAACACACAUCGUCACCUGGCCCUUAACUAGUCUUUGUUCAUUCUGCAACUCCUGUUUUGAGUUACUAAUCUUAGCAAUUGAACCGGUAUCAAACACCCAGGGGCUACUAUGAACACUAGUAAAGUACACAUCAAUAACAGGUAUAUCAAAUAUACCUUUGUUCACUUUGCCAUCCUUCUUAUCUGCCAAGUAUUCGGGGCAGUUCCGCUUCCAAUGACCAGUCCCUUUGCAGUAGAAGCACUCAGUCUUAGGCUUGGGUCUAGCUUUGGGCUUCUUCCCUAGAGUGUCAACUUGCUUGCCAUUCUUCUUGAAGUUCCCUCUCUUUCCCUUGCCCUUUUUCAUGAAACUAGAGGUCUUGGUAACCAUCAACACUUGAUGCUCUUUCUUGAUUUCUACCAUCGCCGAUUUCAGCGUUGCGAAGAGCUCGGGAAUCAUUUUCGUCAUCCCUUGCAUAUUAUAGUUCAUCAUGAAGUUCUAGUAGCUUGGUGAUAGUGACUAGAGAACUUUGUCAAUCACUAUCUUAUCUGGAAGAUUAACUCCCACUUGAGUCAAGCGAUUGUAGUACCCACGGAUUCUGAGCACAUGCUCACUGGUUGAGCUAUUCUCCUCCAUCUUGUAGGCAAAGUACUUGUUAGAGGUCUCAUACCUCUCAACAUGGGCAUGAGUCUGAAAUACCAAUUUCAACUCUUGGAACAUCUGAUAUGCUCCAUGGCAUUCAAAAUGUUUUUUAAGUCCCGGUUCUAAGCCGUAAAGCAUGGCCCACUAAACUAUCAAGUAGUCAUCAUACCGAGCUUGUCAAACGUUCAUAAUGUCCACAUCUGCUCCUGCAAUAGGUCUGUCACCUAGCGGUGCAUCAAGGACAUAAUUCUUCUGUGCAGCAAUGAGGAUAAUCCUUAGAUCACAGGCCCAGUCCGUAUCAUUGCUACUAUCAUCUUUCAAAUUUACUCUAGGAACAUAUCAAAAAAUAUAGGAGCUAUAUCGCGAGCUAUUGAUCUACAACAUAGAUAUGAAAAUACUAUCAGGACUAAGUUCAUGAUAAAUUAAGUUCAAUUAAUCAAAUUACUUAAGAGCUCCCACUUAGAUAGACAUCCCUCAAGUCAUCUAAAUGAUACGUGAUCCAAAUCAACUAAACUAUGUCCGAUCAUCACGUGAGAUGGAAUAGUCAUCAAUGGUGAACAUCUCUAUGUUGAUCAUAUCUACUAUAUGAUUCACGUUCGACCUUUCGGUCUCCAGUGUUCCGAUGCCAUGUCUAUACAUGCCAGGUGUCGUGGGAACUAGUCUGACAGUAAGAAUAGGGGGUACAUAGGAGGAGGCAAGAUCCUAGCUACGGUGAGCUUGUGCACGCAAGGUUUACGAGUUCAGGCCCUUCUCGGAGGAAGUAACAGCCCUACGUCUCGGUGCCCGGAGGCUUGGUCGACUGGAUUAUGCGUGAGAGUUGCAGGGGUGCGAACCCUUGUACCAGAGGAGGGGGGUGGCUUAUAUAGAGUGCGCCAGGACCCCAGCCAUCCCACGUUACACAGGGUUCAAUAUUCAUUAAGACAGGGCGUUACUAGUAACGCUAGCUAUAAAGAGCUAUAAACGAUCUUUAAGACUACAUAGUGAAUGCCUGACCGUUGCCAUCCUGAGUGGCUUUAGGCUUUCUGUCUUCGAGUGAUUCUUCGUGUAGUCGAGUGACUCUUAUCUUGGUCGAAUCGAAUUGGGGUAUCCGAGUGAAAUAGCUGGUCGAGUGGAUAGUACUCCAAGGUGAUUUCAGUCAGUAGAUUCUGCUGUACUUUGAAUGUCUUUGACUCUAGGGCGGUGUCCUUGCAUAGGGCGUCUAGGUCAGGCCCAUGACCCUACCCUAGGUACAUGUCAUCGUCACCAGGAUCGUCAAGUUUAACCCGAGUAUUCCGCAUGUGCAAAACUGUCUUGCACCUGUUGUAUGUGAACGUAGAGUCUAUCACACCCGAUCAUCACGUGGUGUCUCAACACGACGAACUAUCACAAUGGUGCAUACUCAGGGAGAACACUUAUACCUUGAAAUUUAGUUAAGGGAUCAUCUCAUAAUGCUACCACCGUACUAAGCAAAAUAAGAUGCAUAAAAGAUAAACAUCACAUGCAAUCAAAAUAUGUGACAUGAUAUGGCCAUCACCAUCUUGUGCUUUUGAUCUCCAUCUCCAAAGCAUCGUUAUGAUCUCCAUCGUCACCGGCUCGACACCCUGAUCUCCAUCGUAGCGUCGUAGUCUUCUCGCCAACUAUUGCUUCUACAACUAUUGCUAACACAUAGUGAUAAAUUAAAGUAAUUGCAUGGCGUUUGCAUUUCAUACAAUAAAGAGACAACCACAAGGCUCCUGCCGGCUGCCGAUAACUUUUACAAAACAUGAUCAUCUCAUACAAUAACGUAUAUCACAUCAUGUCUUGACCAUAUCACAUCACAACAUGCCCUGCAAAAACAAGUUAGACGUCCUCUACUUUGUUGUUGCAAGUUUUACGUGCCUGCUACGGGCUUCUAGCAAGAACCGUUCUUACUUACGCAUCAAAACCACAACGAUGAUUUAUCAAGCUUGCUGUUUUAGCCUUCAACAAGGACCGGCCGCAGUCAAAUUCAAUUCAACUAAAGUAGGAGAAAUAGACACCCGCCAGCCACCUUUAUGCAAAACUAGUUGCAUGUCUGUCAGUGGAACCGGUCUCAUGAACGUGGUCAUGUAAGGUUGGUCCCGGCCGCUUCAUCCAACAAUACCUCCAAAUAAAAAUAAGACAUUGGUGGUAAGCAGUAUGAUGAUCACCGCCCACAACUCUUUGUGUUCUACUCGUGCAUAUCAUCUACGCAUAGACCUGGCUCAAAUGCCACUGUUGGAAAACGUAGCAUGCAAUUUCAAAAAAAUCCUACGCUCACGCAAGAUCUAUCUAGGAAAUGCAUAGCAACGAGGGGGAGAGUGUGUCUACAUACCCUUGUAGACCGAAAGCGAAAGCGUUUGACAACGCGGUUGAUGUAGUCAAACUUCUUCUAGCUCCGACCGAUCAAGCACCGAACGUACGACACCUCCGAGUUCUGCACACGUUCAGCGCGAUGACGUUCCUCGCCUUCUUGAUCCAGCAAGGUUUCGAGGAAGUAGAUGAGUUCCUUCAACACGACGGCGUGGUGACAAUGAUGGUGAAGUGAUCUGUGCAGGGCUUCGCCUAAGCACCACGAGAAUAUGACCGGGGGUGUAAACUGUGGAGGGGGGCGCCGCACACGGCUAACAAUUGAUGUUGUGUGUUCUAGGCGCCCCCUCCCCAUAUAUAUAGGUGGGAGGGAGAUGGGAGAGGCCAAGGGGCACCCCAAGUGGGGCUGAAUCCCACAUGNNNNNNNNNNNNNNNNNNNNNNNNNNNNNNNNNNNNNNNNNNNNNNNNNNNNNNNNNNNNNNNNNNNNNNNNNNNNNNNNNNNNNNNNNNNNNNNNNNNNNNNNNNNNNNNNNNNNNNNNNNNNNNNNNNNNNNNNNNNNNNNNNNNNNNNNNNNNNNNNNNNNNNNNNNNNNNGUAUAGGCGCCAAGGGAAGGAAGGGGGAGGUGCGCCCCCUUUCCUUUCUCCCUUGAGGAGGGGAAGGAAGGAGGGACUUGCCCUCCCCCUUUCCUUUCCCUAGGGCUGGCCGGCCUGGUGGAGGGGCGCACCAGCCCCUUGUGGGCUGGUCUAUCCCUCCCUUGGCCCAUUAAGCCCGUAUCUUUGCCGGGGGUGCCCGGAACCCCUUUCGGUGACCCUAUAUGUACACGGUACCCUCCGGAACACUUUCGGUGUCCAAAUACCAUAGUCCUAUAUAUCAAUAUUCACCUCUCGACCAUUUAGAGACUCCUCGUCAUGUCCGUGAUCUCAUCCGGGACUCCGAACAACAUUCGGUCACCAAAUCACAUAACUCAUAUAAUAUUAAAUUGUCAUCAAAUGUUAAGCGUGCGGACCCUACGGGUUCGAGAACUAUGUAGACUUGACCGAGACACCUCUUCGGUCAAUAACCAAUAGCGGAACCUGGAUGCUCAUAUUGGCUCCUACAUAUUCUACGAAGAUCUUUAUCGGUCGAACCGUUAUGACAACAUACGUUAUUCCCUUUGUCCAUCGGUAUGUUACUUGCCCGAGAUUCGAUCGUCGGUAUCCACAUACCUAGUUCAAUCUCGUUACCGGCAAGUCUCUUUACUCAUUCUGUAAUACAUCAUCUUGUAACUAACUCAUUAGUCACUUUGCUUGCAAGGCUUCUUAUGAUGUGCAUUACCGAGAGGGCCCAGAGACACCUCUCCGAUACUCGGAGUGAAAAAUCCUAAUCUCGAUCUAUGCCAACCCAACAAACACCUUCGGAGAUACCUAUAGAGCAUCUUUAUAAUCACCCAGUUACGUUGUGACGUUUGAUAGCACACAAGGUAUUCCUCCGGUAUCCGGAAGUUGCAUAAUCUUAUAGUCGAAGGAAUAUGUAUUUGACAUGAAGAAAGCAAUAGCAGUAAAACUGAACGAUCAAUAUGCUAAUCUAACGGAUGGGUCUUGUCCAUCACAUCAUUCUCCUAAUGAUGUCCCAUUCAUCAAAUGACAACACAUGUCUGGUUAGGAAACUUAACCAUCUUUGAUUAGCAAGCUAGUCUAGUAGAGGCUUACUAGGGACACAGUGUUUUGUCUAUGUAUCCACACAUGUAUCAAGUUUUCGGUUAAUACAAUUCUAGCAUGAAUAAUAAACAUUUACCAUGAUAUAAGGAAAUAUAAAAUAACAACUUUAUUGUAACAUCCCAAAUUUUCAAUUUGGAAUGUUAUACAUUAGGUCAUCAUUGCAUAUCAUAUUUUAUUGCAUUUUUGCUUGAUCCUAGAAAUUCUACGCAACUCAAGGACCCACGGAGAGAGUUGGGGAUUUCGUUAUUUUCAUAUUUGAGUUUUCUCGAAUUUUGAAAAAAGGAUCGUUUGAUUUUAGUUAUUUUCUCUUCGAAUAUUUCUUUUAUGAAAAUAAAAGAGAGAGGAUAAAAUGACUUCCUCAAAAUAAAGAAAUACUGGAGAUUUAAUAUUCAAAUCAAAUAAGAAUUUUAUUCGGAGUUUUAUCACUAUUUUAUUUGAAUUAGGAAAAAUAUGCGGGUUUUUUCAAAAUUGCACUAGAGUCCCAAAUAAAUGUUCACCUUGUCCGGUAGAUUUCUAGAGGACGGCAAAAAUUUAUUUCAGGAUUUUUGGAGUCUGUUUAGUAUUUCUUUUAUUUAUUUUUCUGCGCGGAACUUUUUUAAAAAAAAAGUCAACCGACAUACGGGCCGUGCCCGAGCCGGAUUCCUUCGGCCGGGGGCUUUAUAAGCCGCAGCCCGAGCCGCCCCGAGGCCCAAGCCGCCGCCGCCAGCCCACCCCGCUGAAACCCUAGCCCCGCCACCCGCCAGCCCGCCACCGCUGCUGCCGCUGCCGCCGCUCCCCGACGCCGCCGCCGCGCGCUGCUGCUGCCGCUCGCCGCCNNNNNNNNNNNNNNNNNNNNNNNNNNNNNNNNNNNNNNNNNNNNNNNNNNNNNNNNNNNNNNNNNNNNNNNNNNNNNNNNNNNNNNNNNNNNNNNNNNNNNNNNNNNNNNNNNNNNNNNNNNNNNNNNNNNNNNNNNNNNNNNNNNNNNNNNNNNNNNNNNNNNNNNNNNNNNNNNNNNNNNNNNNNNNNNNNNNNNNNNNNNNNNNNNNNNNNNNNNNNNNNNNNNNNNNNNNNNNNNNNNNNNNNNNNNNNNNNNNNNNNNNNNNNNNNNNNNNNNNNNNNNNNNNNNNNNNNNNNNNNNNNNNNNNNNNNNNNNNNNNNNNNNNNNNNNNNNNNNNNNNNNNNNNNNNNNNNNNNNNNNNNNNNNNNNNNNNNNNNNNNNNNNNNNNNNNNNNNNNNNNNNNNNNNNNNNNNNNNNNNNNNNNNNNNNNNNNNNNNNNNNNNNNNNNNNNNNNNNNNNNNNNNNNNNNNNNNNNNNNNNNNNNNNNNNNNNNNNNNNNNNNNNNNNNNNNNNNNNNNNNNNNNNNNNNNNNNNNNNNNNNNNNNNNNNNNNNNNNNNNNNNNNNNNNNNCGCCCCGCCGGAGCCACCCGACCCCGCCGGAGGUAGCCGCCGCUGCCGUCGGUUUUCGCAAGAAAACCGACCGGUGUUUUUAUUUUUUUAGAUCGGUUUUUUUCGGUUUAGUUAUUUAGCAGACGCCCGUUCGUACGUUCGUUUUAACGAACGGUUUUCACCGUUUAACCGCAGACACCGAACGUUCGUUAGUCUGUUCGUCACUUUUUCUUUUUCUCAUAUUUUCGCGAUUAUUUUCGAUCGUGAUUUCUGAUCCGAUUUUUGUUUUAGUUUAUAUUUUCGCUCGUUUAUCGAAAUCAGGCGAUUCAAGCGCCUAGAGUUUCGUCUCGAAGCCCUCUUUCUGUUUAAUCAACUUAAACAAGUUUUUGCCACUGUAAAUUUGACUUUAGUCCAGAUUAGUAAUCGAAGCUUGUUUCUUUCGCAGUUUGAGUUUCGUUGCUUCGUUUGAUUUGAUUCUUUUUGCAAACCGUAGUUCUUAAGUUGAACUUUCUGGUUAGAUCUUCUUAUUUGAGUUUUACCCGUGCAUCUUUGCUUGAUUGCUUAUUGUAUUCUUGUUUGUUUGCGAUAGAGUACCCGGAGUGCGAAGCGUGCUACUACGAGUCUCUAGGUUUCACGGAUCAUCAACAAGGCAAGUAACACUUUGAUCAUACCUCUUUACUACCCAGUUUUAUUGCAUUAGAUCAAUCCUCAAACAAUUGCAUGCUUAGGAUCUGAUUAAAUUGUGGGUUUGGGAAGUAGAUGAGGUAGUACCUAUUCACUUGUUUAUUAUCAAACCUAUGGGAGUUACUUCUACGUUGCUUAUAUUGCUAUGCUAUGCUCGUAGACGUGGUUUGGGUUUGAGUGUAUUCAUGACAGAUGUGAGUAUUGUUCAUUAAUGGUUAACUUAAGGUGGCAACUUUAAUACACAUCUGGGUGGAUUGAGGCACCUGGGGAACCCAGUGUUGUCUGUAUUUUUGGAAAUCCCGGGGUACCGUGUGAUUCUCCUAUGGACUGCCACCCAGGCUCAAAGGGAUCAUAAGGUUAUUCAUGCUAGAAGCUUCCGUGUGCAGCCACAUGCCAUUAUGGGCUCUGGCAUAGUUGAGUAAGUUGUGGGAAACCUUUCCAUGAUGGGCUAGCAGAUGUAGGGGAUUGUAGGUGUACAGGCCUAUCUAUCGGUUAAGGGGGCCUCUUCGGAAAGACUGUGUCUCGGUCAUCCGUUUCUCAAACAUUAUGUAGUGCGAGAAAUCCAACGGAGGAGAUCGAGUCUUGUGGGGAAAAGUGCGCAAACCUCUGCAGAGUGUACAAACUAAUCAUGGUUAGCCGUGUCCCCGGUUAUGGACAUCUUGAGUAUCUAGUUCUUGGAUUAUCAUGUGGAUCUUAUCACUCUUAAUAUAAUUUUGAUUGGGUUUAAUGAUGAUGCUUAAUUGGGAUUGAGUUGGGUGAACCUUCUCAAUGUUUAGCAACCACCAUGAUAGUUAAAUAAAAUUUAUUCCAUUUGUUGUAGGGAAAAAUUGGCAUUCCGCAAAACAUAUUAACCAUACAGCCUCCACCAGCCAUAUAUGCAUGUAGUGAUAGUUUUAUUCUGUUCAUUACUCUUUUGUGUUGCCUUGCCAGCAUAUUCCAUGUGCUGACCCGUUUCGGGCUGCAACGUAUCAUGUUGCAGACUUUUCAGACGACGAGUAAGGAGCCAUAGGUCGUUGUCUUUCACUCAGUGAUGUCGUUGGAGUUGAUGGACUCACUUUAUCUUCCAAGCCUUCCGCUAUUAUCGUAUUAGAUGGCCUUAAGCCAUAUUUAUUGUAAUAAGUUUUUUUGAGACAUUUGAUGUAAUAAGUGUGUGAUUUCUACUCUGUUAUAAAUCCUCAAGUACUGUACGUGUCAGCAUUACCAAUUCAGGGAUGACACUGAUGCAUAGAGAUCAGACUAUUUGAGGUCUGUUCGCUACAAGAUGGUAUCAGAGCACACGCUGACUGUAGGACACGACCACUAAGCUAAAGCCCUAGAUCACUACUCUCUUCUCAUUUCUGACUCCUCUCCAUUUUUCUACUCUUUAGGAUGGCGGACGCAAGGAACAAGUUUGCACAACCGGAUGAAGACACCCCCUUUGGAGGACACUUGAAGGAAGUCACUAGAUACCUGAACAUUGGAAUACCAAGCUUCACCGGGACUUACAACGCCACUUUACCAGAAGAGGAGCGCUGGAUGAUUCAAGUUCAAGUUCCAGGAAGGACAUUCACGCCAGUCACUGAGCCCAUAGAGUUUUCCUUUGAUGCACCAACCUGGAGUCUAGGAAAGAGUAUGGCAGCCCACAUCACCAUGGGACGCAUUGGAGAAGUUUACCACAAGGAUCUCAAGGAUACUAUCUACCAGAUUUGUGGGCGCCGAGAUGAGCAAUGGGAGAUGAUCAGCACCAGGAAGGAUAGAUUGAUUGCAGCUUUCAUCCAGGAGUUAAACCAGCACAUUCGACGCCAGGAGAACCAGAUGUGCGCAGGCAUGACAGAUUUGAAGAAGGCGAUGACAAGGAUCACGGAGCUGGAGGAAGAACUCAAGGCUACUCGCGAAGAUUAUGCGGAGGAAAUCAUCGUACUAGUGGAGAAGAAUGACGACCUGACAAGGAAGCUGGGAGUAUUCAUGGGAGACCCCGCGCCAGGAGGAGAAGAUGACGGUUCCACUUGCCCGAAGAACUACAUCAUCAUCGACGACACCGACUCGGACCCCGAUGAUAGCGAUGAUGACUAUGUUGAUGAAGCUGGAGCGGAUAUCAUGGAGUCUUCGACCGAACAAUUUUUCUAGUCGACCACCAUAUCAGUAGUAGUAUUCCACCAUGUAUAUAGUAUAGUCCGAGCACUUUUGUAACGAUAGUUCUAGACCGAUUGUAUGCCCUUGCUUGAUUGAUUGAGUGAUAUGUUUGUGUUUGUCUCAUGUGCAUAUGGGUAGUGUUUUCCCCCUAGACCUCAUUCUACUCUAUUUUCUCAUCUUUUCUAAACCCAGCAGAUGCCUCCGAGACGCGACAAUGGAUUUUCUUUCCCACUAGAGCUCACUCAGUUGAUCCAGCAGCAGAAUGCAUUGAUGCAGAUACUAGUCCAGAAUCAGAAUCAGGGGAACAACAACAACAACAACAACCCACCACCACCACCACCUGUUGAUCACUUAGCCCGUUUUCUAAGGCUGAAUCCGUCGGUGUUCUCCAGUAGCACCGAGGCGAUAGUUGCAGAUGAUUGGAUCCGCAAGAUUGAAAGGGAGUUGACCACUGCAGGAUGCACAGAUGCGGAGAGAGUGUGUUUUGCCGAACAUCAGCUUGAUGGACCCGCGGCAUCAUGGUGGGAGAAUUUCACAGUCACUUACCCCAUCGACACUGUUACAUGGGACCAGUUCCAGCAGGCUUUUCGCACUGCCCAUGUAUCAACAGGAGCUAUGGCCAUGAAGAAGCGUGUGUUCCGCAACUUACGCCAAGGAGGACGCACAGUUGGCGAGUAUGUGGAUGACUUUAGUAAGCUAGCACGUUAUGCCCCAGAUGACGUCGCUACAGAUGCAGCUAAGCAGGAGAACUUUCUGCAAGGACUGAAUGAUGAGCUGAACAUGCACUUGAUGGUGGCAAAUUUUAAUAACUACCAGGAGUUGGUAGAUAGAGCUCUCAUGAUUGAAGGGAAGCAGCAGCAGAUUGACAACCGCAAGAGGAAGUAUGGACAAGGGAAGUAUAAUUCUGGAGCUCAGCAAAGACCCCGUUUUACCCCGAACUCGGGAGGACCCCUUCAGCAUAACCAUGGAGGUCACAAUCACACUGGAGGAAGUUCGCACAACCAUGGUGGCUCCAAGAACGGGAGUGGUAAUGGAGGAAGCAACGAAUAGAACCGUUCCAACCCGGCAACGCCCGCCAAGAAAGAUCUAAGCCACGUUACUUGCUACAAGUGCCAGAAGACUGGACAUUACGCCAAUGAAUAUCCUGAAGCUAAGAAUGGAAACGGCAAUGGAAGCUCUGGGAAGAAGCCCAACCCUUUCAACAGGGGACAAGUGAACCACGUUAACGUGGAGGAGGUUGAAGCCCAGCCAGAUGUAGUAAUAGGUAAGUUUUUGGUUAAGUCAUUUACUGCAGUUGUUCUUUUUGAUACUGGUGCAUCGCAUUCAUACAUAUCAAGGGGAUUUGUGGAUAAGUAUAAACUGCCCACCAAAGUUCUUAGUACACCUUUGUUAGUGAGCUCGCCAGGAGCAGAAUAUAUGGCAAACCAAGGAUGUUUUCAGAUGCCAUUGACCAUAGGUAGGCAUGUUUUCCCCUCAGAUCAGAUAAUUUUGGAGUCACAAGGUUUGGGUGUAAUUCUAGGUAUGGAUUGGCUAUCGAUGUAUGGAGGAAACAUCGAUUGCGCCAGUAAGUCGAUUUUGCUCACCACCCCAGAAGGAAGAAGGAUCAAGUAUGUAUCCCGGCAUGUGCCGAAUAGGACUCAAGUAAAUUCCUUAUCAGGAGUUGUAUAGGAGGAAGUACCAGUGGUGAAGGAUUUCCCGGAUGUAAUUCCAGAAGAGUUGCCAGGCAUGCCACCGGAUAGAGACAUUGAGUUUUUGAUUGAGCUUUUGCCAGGCAUAGGGCCAAUAUCUAAGAGACCGUACAGAAUGCCCGCAAAGGAUUUGGAGGAAAUUAAGAAGCAGAUUAAGGAGUUACUGGAUAAAGGUUAUAUUCGCCCAAGUUCGUCACCUUGGGGAUCACCAGUGCUUCUAGUGGAGAAGAAGGAUGGAUCGUUAAGGAUGGUUGUUGACUAUCGAGGAUUGAAUGAGGUGACGAUCAAGAACAAGUACCCACUGCUGAUGAUCAAUGAUUUGUUUGAUCAGCUGCAAGGAGCUAAAGUGUUUUCCAAGACCGAUCUGCGAUCAGGGUACCACCAGCUGAAGAUUCGAGAGCAGGAUAUACCUAAGACAGCUUUUACCACGAGGUACGGGCUAUAUGAGUAUACCGUUAUGUCAUUUGGCCUGACUAACGCACCUGCCUAUUUUAUGAACAUGAUGAACAAGGUGUUUAUGGAGUUUUUGGAUAAGUUCGUUGUGGUGUUCAUUGAUGGUAUUCUAGUCUACUCGAAGAAUGAAGAGGAUCAUAAAGAGCAUUUGCGUUUAGUACUUGGGAAGCUCAGAGAACAUCAGCUAUACGCCAAGUUCAGCAAGUGUGAGUUUUGGUUGAAGGAAGUUGGAUUCCUUGGACAUGAUAUAUCCGGAGAAGGAAUAGCGGUAGACCCCACCAAAGUUGUCACUGUGACAAAUUGGGAGGCACCCACGUCAGUUGGAGAGAUCCGGAGUUUUCUUGGACUCGUAGGAUACUACCGGAGGUUCAUUGAGAAUUUCUCGAAGAUCGCAAAGCCUAUGACGGAGUUGUUAAAGAAGGACACCAAGUUCAAAUGGACUGAGAAAUGUGAGGCCAGUUUUCAGGAGUUGAAGAAACGCUUGGUGUGACGCCCCUGAUUUGACCGUACACUAAUCAUGCACGCAAAUGUGUACGAUCAAGAUCAGGGACUCACGGGAAGAUAUCACAACACAACUCUAAAACAUAAAUAAGUCAUACAAGCAUCAUAAUACAAGCCAGGGGCCUCGAGGGCUCGAAUACAAGUGCUCGAUCACAGACGAGUCAGCGGAAGCAACAAUAUCUGAGUACAGACAUAAGUUAAACAAGUUUGCCUUAAGAAGGCUAGCACAAACUGGGAUACAGAUCGAACGAGGCGCAGGCCUCCUGCCUGGGAUCCUCCUAACUACUCCUAGUCGUUGUCAGCGGCCUGCACGUAGUAGUAGGCACCUCCAGUGUCGUAGGUGUCGUCGUCGACGGUGGCGUCUGGCUCCUGGACUCCAACAUCUGGUUGCGACAACCAGAUAGAAAGGAAAGGGGGAAAAGAGGGAGAGAAGCAACCGUGAGUACUCAUCCAAAGUACUCGCAAGCAAGGAGCUAUACUACAUAUGCAUGGGUAUAUGUGUAAAGGGGCAUAUCAGUGGACUGAACUGCAGAAUGCCGGAAUAAAAGGGGGAUAGCUAGUCCUAUCGAAGACUACGCUUCUGGCCAUCUCCAUCUUGCAGCAUGUAGAAGAGAGUAGAUUGAAGUCCUCCAAGUAGCAUCGCAUAGCAUAAUCCUACCCGGCGAUCCCCUCCUCGUCGCCCUGUUAGAGAGCGAUCACCGGGUUGUAUCUGGCACUUGGAAGGGUGUAUUUUAUUCAGUAUCCAGUUCUAGUUGUCAUGAGGUCAAGGUACAACUCCGGGUCGUCCUUUUACCGAGGGACACGGCUAUUCGAAUAGAUAAACUUCCCUGCAGGGGUGCACCACAUAACCCAACACGCUCCAUCCCAUUUGGCCGGACACACUUUUCUGGGUCAUGCCCGGCCUCGUAAGAUCAACACGUCGCAGCCCCACCUAGGCUCAACAGAGAGGUCAGCACGCCGGUCUAAACCUAUGCGCGCAGGGGUCUGGGCCCAUCGCCCUAUGCACACCUGCAUGUUGCGUACGCGGCCGGAAGCAGACCUAGCCCCCUUAAUACAAGCGCGAGCUUACGGUCCAAUGCGGGGCGCGCCUCUCAGUUGCUGACGUCAAAAGAGCUUCGGCUGAUACUACGACGUCGGGAUACCCAUAACUACUCCCACGUAGAUGGUUAGUGCGUAUAGACCAAAUGGCCAGACUCAGAUCAAAUACCAAGAUCUCGUUAAGCGUGUUAAGUAACCGCGAAUGCCGACCAGGGCCAGGCCCACCUCUCACCUAGGCGGUCAACCUGCCCUGUCGCUCCGCCACAAAGAUCCACUCGCGGGUACUCCUACGAGCCGACCCGACUUUAGUCAUCACAUGUGUCAUGUAUAUAGUAUAUAAGUAUAUACCCGUGAUCACCACCCAGGUGAUCACGGCCCGAUAGUAUAGCACAGCAGACGGACAAGAAUGUAGGGCCACUGAUGGAAAACUAGCAUCCUAUACUAAGCAUGUAGGAUUGCAGGUAAAGGUAACAACAGUAGUAGCAAGGAUAGGCUAUGCAUCAGGAUAGGAUAUCGAAAAGUAGUAACAUGCUACACUACUCUAAUGCAAGCAGUAUAGAGAAGAAUAGGCGAUAUCUGGUGAUCAAGGGGGGGCUUGCCUGGUUGCUCUGGCAAGUAGGAGGGGUCGUCGACUCCGUAGUCGAACUGGGCAGCAGCAGUGUCGGUCUCGUAGUCUACCGGAGAGAAGAGGGGGAAGAAACAGUAAAUACAAUGCAAACAUAAGCAUGACGAUGCGUGACAUGACAAUGAGCGGGGCUAGGUGUGUCCUAACGCAACAGUAGGUGGUACCGGCGAAGGGGGGGAACAUCCGGGAAGUAUUCCCGAUGUUUUCGCGUUUUCGGACAGACGGAUCGGAGGGGGAAAGUUGCUAGUUCGAUAGGUUAGGGAGGUGUGGUGGACGAACGGACUGCGUAUUCGGAUUCGUCUCGUCGUUCUGAGCAACUUUCAUGUAGAAAACAUUUUCAUCCGAGUUACGGUUUAAAAGAUAUGAAUUUUCGAAGAUUAUUUGAAUUUCUGGAAUUAUUUGAAUUUAGCAAAAAUGAAUUAUGACGUCAGCAUGAGGUAAUACUGACGUCAGCAGGUCAACAGGUCGGCUGACCAGUCAAACCAGACAGGUGGGUCCUACCUGUCAUAGACAGUGGACUAAUCAGAAGACUAAAUUAACUAAAAUUAGAUUAAUUAACUACUGGACCCCACCUGUCAGUGCCUAAUUAGAUUAAUUAAUUAGUUUUAUUUAUAAAAACAUUUUUUUUUGUUAAUUAUGCGGCAGGGCCCGCAUGUCAGCGGCUGGGGCCUGCCCAGUCAGCAGUUGACUGGGUCAACCCAGUCAACUAGGACCCACGGGGCCCACUGGCAGUGGCACUGGGGUGGCCCCAGGCCAGCCACGUCGGCGGCCGGCGUUUAAACGCCGGCGCACGCUCCGGCGACCACCCGAGACGGCGGCGUUGCGCGGAAACGGCGCACAGGGGGCCAUUUGGCCCGCGGUUUCUUCCUACGGGACGGGCGCGACGCGACGCGUCCGUUGGUGGCCACGAAAAGUACGGGGAUGGCCGGAAACGGCCGCUACCUCGACGUCGGCGGGUGGUGCAUUCGGGCGAAGCUCGGGGUCGGCGCUACGGGGCUCGACGGAGUGCAUGGAUGGGUGCAUCUGGCCCGCACAGACGUGCUGAGCACGAAGCCGGGCUCAGCUGAGCUCGACGGCGAGCAUGGCCGCGACGGUGAAGCGCCGGGCGGCGACCGGAGCUCGGCAACGACGGCAGCUAGCUACGGAGCGCUAGGGGGCCAACGAGGAGUAGCAGGGGGAGGAGAAGCUCACCGUGCGGCACUCACGUAGGCCCUCGACGGAUUAGUAGCUGUAGGUCGGCGCCGGGGAAGAAAGGGAUCGCCGGCGACCGAAGUUGAAGACGAGCUCGGUGUGCUCGUUGUAGGGGCUCCGGUCUCCAACGGGCUGCACCAGUCGAAGCAGCGGGCGACGGCGGUCCUUGGAGACACCGUGGGGCGGCGAGGUGGGCACGGUGGCCGUGGCUAGGCCGGAGGCAUGGCGGCGGUGGCGUUCGGGCGAGGUGGGGAAGGGGAUCGGAGAGGGAGGAGAAGUGGAUCUGGGGGAGGGGAGGCGCAGUGGCGAGCGAGAGGGGCAAGUGGGAGGGAUGGGCGGAGGCCGAGGCGUCGGGGCGGCCUUAUCCUCCCCCGUCGCCGGCGAGGUGGUGCGGCGGGGACCUGCCCCUGUUCCGACUCCGGUCGGGGGAACAGGGAAGGGGAGGGCGACCCGGGGAGGUGGGCUAGGCCGGCUGGGCCUGGGGGCGGCCCAGUUGGGCCAGGGUCCAGUGGGGGGCUUCUCCUUCUCCUUUUUUUUUCUUUGUUUGUUCUGUUUUCUUUUGUAUUUUCUUUUUAUUUAUUUAUUUUCUUUUCUGUUUUAUUUCAAUUUAAUUUAUUUAGGCAUUUUAUAAAAAUAUGUUUUCUUUAGUAUAAUUACCCUUGUAAUAUUUGGCAUGACCCGAACAUUUUUGUUUAAAUUUUUGAAAACUUUUAUUUUCCACUUUAAAUCUAAUUUGAAGUUUGAAUUAGGAGUUUGAAAAGAAAUGUGAUUCCAAUGUGAUCAAGCCCUGUUUAGCAACAUGAUUAGCUUAAUCACAGAGAGUUACUGUAGCAUGAUUCUCGGGGUGUUACAAAUCUCCUCCACUACAAGAAAUCUCGUCCCGAGAUUUAGGAGGUAGAAGGAAACAGUGUGGGGUAUUCUUCGCGCAGACGAUCCUCUCAUUCCCAAGUGGCCUCAUCUUCAGAAUGGUGCGACCACUGGACUUUGAGAAACUUGAUCGCCUUCUGACGUGUGCGGUGUUCAGCUUGGUCGAGAAUGCGGACCGGAUGCUCCUUAUAGGAGAGGUCUUGCUGCAAUUCGAGCACUUCAUGAUCCACAGCUCGGAUUGGGUCCUUGAAGCAACGGCGGAGCUGCGACACAUGGAACACAUCGUGAACCUGAGAAAGGUUCGGCGGUAGCUCCAGUUGGUAUGCCACUUUUCCACGCCUUUCGAGAAUAGUGAAUGGGCCAAUAUAGCGAGGAGCUUCUUUGCCCUUGAUCCCGAAGCGGUGAGCACCCUUCAUAGGUGUGACUCGAAGAUAAGCCUUUUCGCCAGGUUGAUAGACCAUGUCUUUAUGAUGACGGUCAUACUGACUCUUCUGACGUGACUGAGCAGUCUUGAGAUUCUCGUGAAUAAUGCGGACUUGUUCUUCGGCAUCUUGGAUAAUAUCCGGACCGAAGAGUGGACGUUCCCCAGUUUCUGACCAGUUCAGAGGGGUUCGGCACUUUCGUCCAUAUAACACUUCGAAGGGGGCCAUCUUCAGACUAGCUUGAUAGCUAUUAUUAUAAGAGAACUCAGCAUACGGGAGAGAUUCCUCCCAUUUCUUGCCGAAGGAAAUAACACAAGCUCGAAGCAUAUCUUCGAGAACUUGGUUGACGCGUUCAACUUGCCCUUGCGAUUGAGGAUGAAACGCAGUACUGAAUGACAGAUGAGUUCCCAUAGCUUCUUGGAAACUUGCCCAGAAUCAUGAAGUGAAUAAGCUGCCACUGUCUGAGCUGAUAACCAAUGGAAUACCGUGGAGUGAAACAAUCCUGGACAUAUAGAGCGUUGCCAACUGGCUAGCAGUGAUCGUUUCUUUGACUGCCAGAAAAUGUGCAACUUUGGAAAGUCGGUCAAUGACGACAAGAAUAGCAUCAUUACCUUUCUGUGAUUUGGGAAAUCCAGUGAUGAAGUCCAUCUCAACAUGGUCCCAUUUCCAUUCAGGAAUAGAGAUAGGUUGCAGAGUUCCAGCAGGCCUUUGAUGUUCUGCUUUGAUACGACGGCAAACGUCACAUUCAGCGACAUAACGAGCAAUGUCUUGCUUCAUAUUAGACCACCAGAAUCUCUGACGGAUGUCUUGGUACAUCUUUGUACUACCAGGAUGGAUACAUAGAGGCGUAUCAUGAGCUUCUUUCAUAACUUCCUGUGUCAUAUCCAGGUUUUUCUCUGCACAUGGCACCACUAGGCGACCCUUGAAGUAUAAGGUGCCAUCUUCAGCAAUGGUGAAGAAUGAGGGCUUUCCUUCUGCGAGGUAGCGCUUAAUCUUGUGGGCUUCAGAGUCAUACUUCUGUAGCCUUUUGAUGCUGUCCUCGAGAUCUGGUUUAGCAACUAGGGUAUUGAGGGAACCCUGGGUAACAACGUGGAGGUUCACCUUGCCAAACUCCUUAGGAGGGGGAGCGAGUGCACCCGGAGGAACAAUAUGGAGGUUCAGCUUCCUGAAUUCUUCAACAAGCGAGGGCUGAACUUUAUGAACCUGGAGGUGGUUGCAGUAAGACUUGCGGCUCAAGGCAUCAGCCAUUACAUUAGCCUUGCCUGGCGUAUAGGAAAUACCCAAGUCAAAGUCUGCAACAAGCUCCAUCCAUCUUUGUUGACGGAGGUUCAGAUCUGGCUGAGUAAACAGAUACUUCAGACUUUGAUGGUCGGUGAAGAUCUCGCAACGAUUACCGAGAAGGUAAUGUCGCCACUGCUUCAGCGCAUGAAUGACAGCAGCAAGUUCGAGGUCGUGAACUGGGUAGUUCUCUUCGUGAGGGCGCAAUUGCCGAGAGGCAUAAGCAAUCACUUUGCGGUCUUGCAUUAGGACACAGCCUAAUCCUUGACGGGAAGCGUCGCAGUAAAUGACAAAGUCCUUCUUAGUAUCAGGUGGAGCUAGAACUGGAGCAGAAGUCAACUUGUCUUUGAGUGCCUGGAAACUUUCCUAACAUUUGUCUGUCCAUUGGAACUUGACGCCCUUAUGCAACAGGUUAGUCAGAGGCCUGGCGAUCUUGGAGAAGUUCUCGACGAAUCGACGGCAAUAGCUGGCGAGACCGAGAAAACUUCUGACUUGCUUAACGUUCUUGGGAGGAGUCCAAUCAAGAAUAGCCUGAACUCGUUCAGGGUUGACGGCAAUACCAUCCUUAGAGAUGACAUGCCCGAGAUAGGUUACUUCGGGUAGCCAGAAUUCACAUUUGGAGAACUUGGCAUAUAGUUGAUGCUCUCGUAGCUUUUCCAGCACAAGUCGAAGAUGUUCAGCAUGUUCUUCUUCGUUCUUGGAAAAUACCAGGAUAUCAUCCAGAUAAACCACAACGAACUUGUCGAGGUAAUCCAUGAAGAUAUAGUUCAUCAGACGAGAGAAGGUGGCUGGAGCAUUGGUUAAACCGAAAGACAUGACGGUGUACUCGUAUGAACCAUAGCGACCACGAAGGCGGUCUUUGGGAUAUCCUCUUUGCGAACACGGAUCUGGUGGUAGCCCAACCUCAAGUCGAGCUUAGAGAACACUGACGAACCCGCCAGUUGAUCAUACAGAUCAUUGAUCCGAGGAAGGGGGUAUUUAUUCUGAAUGGUAGCUUGGUUUAUAGGACGGUAGUCUUGAACUAACCGGUUUGUCCCAUCCUUCUUCUUGACAAAGAGAGAAGGUGCUCCCCACGGAGAGCAACUUGGCGAAUGAAUCCUUUGCGAAGAGAUUUGUCGAUUUCCUCCUUAAGCUCAAGGAGUUCAUGCGGCGGCAUUUUGUAGGGUCACUUGGCUAUAGGAGUGGUGCCUGGUUUCAAGUCGAUGAUGAAUUCGACAGCUCUAGCAGGGGGAAUCCCCGGAAGUUCUUCAGGGAAGACGUCGAGGAAUUCACGAACGACGGGAAUGUUUUCAAUGCCCUCGAGUGGUGCAGCGUUCAAUGCAUUCAAUGCAUAGAGCCUUGCCUCGGCAUUUUGCACCAGAUGAGCUUGGUAAGCAACUAUUUCAUCUAAAGGGUGUAGCAGAUGGACGGUUUUAGUGGCGCAAACUAUAGAAGCAGUAUGCGCUUUCAACCAAUCCAUACCCAAAAUGAGGUCGAUGUUAGACGACUUCAGGAUAAUGGGAGAGGCAUAGAAUUCCAGCCCUUCGAUUUCCACGGGGACAUCGAUGCCAACCAAGGAGGUUUGACACUGUCCCACGGGGGUUUUGACCAGUACCGAAGUGUUCAUCUCCUCACAUUUAACGUCGUGCUUGUAUGCAAAAUCUUCUGACAUGAAUGAAUGCGAUGCACCUGUAUCAAAUAAAACGGAUGCUGGUACUGAAUUUACGAGGAGUGUACCCAUCACAGUAGCAGGCUGGUCUUGAGCUUCGUUGAGAUCAACGUGGUUGGCAUGAGCACGACCAUAAGACUUAGCAUUGUUGUUGCGGGGCUGAUUGUUACCACGGCCAGUUGCUGGAAGGGCCAGUUGAUUCUGAUUCUGAUUGCAGUCCCUGGCACGGUGACCUGGUUGUCCACACUUGUAGCACAGACCAUUAUUGGGAGUGGGAGCAGGAGCUUGGGAUGGUGGAGCUGGAAGUCUUGACUGCCUAGAUGGUGGUGGAGGCAGACGAGGUGCAGCAUAUGUCUGCCUUGGGGCAGAUGCAUUUGGACGGUACAUGCUGUUCGGGAUCCAUAUCUUACGCUUCUGUGCGGGCGAGCCCGAAGAUGAGCCCGUGUCACGGUUGCGCCUGUGAGAGCUCUGGUAUUCCUGCAGACCAGUUUCGACAUUGAUGGCCUUGUUCACCAAGGUGGCGAAAUCAGCAAAGUCAUGCACUAGAAGUGCGAGCUUGAUGUCAGCUUGAAGGCCAUCACGGAACUUCUCCUGUCUGCGUGCAUCAGUUGCAAUGUCCUCUUCAGCAUAACGAGACAAGUCCAGAAACUCCCGUUGAUAAGCUUCAACAGUUUUGUUGCCUUGGGUGAGGUUGCGGAACUCACGCUUCUUCCGGUCCAUGACUCCUUGAGGAAUGAAGCGGGCACGGAAAGCUGCUUGGAAGUCUGGCCAUGUGAUGAUUGUUCCAGCUGGCAUAGUACGCCUGUGGUUGUCCCACCAUUGAGCUGCGGGUCCCUUCAAGAAGAAGGAAGCAAAGGUGACAUAGCUGGCAGGGGCUACAUCAGCAGACUCCAUCUCAUAGGUGAUGUCACGGAGCCAGUCAUCAGCAUCCAGAGGCUGAGUUGAGCUGCGGUAGAUGGUUGGGUUGAGGCGUAUGAAAUCUUGAAGAGUCACUUGGGUUGGCUGCUGGUUCAUAUUGGGGCGAGGAAACUGGGCCAUCAUAUUUUCCAUGAAUUGGCGGUUCAGUUCGAACUGUUGGAUCAUACCAGCCAUGUACUCAGGUGGUGGUGGGGCAUCGCCACCACGACCACCUGGUCUAACCAUCCUGCUAAUAUAUAACAGGGGUAGUUCAGCAUUGAGAAAUUUGCAAGGACAAGAAUCAUUCAUGAUGAAACAUGCAUAAAGAAAGGAGCACGAUAGCUACUACAUGGUAGUCGGCAUAACUUACAAAGGGGUCAUGCAUAGAGUUCAGUGCACAGAGUUCAGUACAUAGACUAAAACAACAUAGGCGGCACACAGGCUCGCGGCGAAUGCAUCUAACACUACAAGCAAGCCUACAUCAGUCCCAAGAGGUACUGUGGAGGUAAUCGUAGCCCGACAGCUGGUAGUGAGGCAACGGAUAGCCCUCCACGUCAGCAGACUGGGGCCGCGGAUACUCAGGUGUAGAGCCCGACGCUCAGGUGGCAGAAGAGGACCAAGUGCGGGAGAGUAGCCUCCCACCUCUGGCCAACCGACACCGUGGGGCAUCACGGUCCUGGCUGGGUAGAUCGCAGUACGCGGUACCUGUCCAGAUCGGACAAAGGGGUGCAGCAGCGUCAGAGCACGGUAAAGGUGCUGACGGGUGGUGUACAUCUCGUGGCGAAGAGCUCGGUUAGCUCGAUCCAGCCCAUCAGCAUGCAGAACCAGGUUCUGAUGGUAGAAGGGCUCUCGGGUGACAGUGGAGUAGGCAGCAGUAUAGUAUCCCUCCGCACCAACAUCAGAUGCGAUAGCAAUGUGCCUGAAAGGGGAGGUGUCCAACUCCCGAUACUCUCCACGAAGACGUGUCAGAGCAGCAUAGGCAGCAUCGUGGACAGCCAUAUCGAUGGUCACACCAACACCAUGUGCGGUGUGCAGCACAGUAGUGGAGUCAUACUCCCGAGAGUAGAGGUGGACGAUGGCACGGUACUGCUCCUGGUUAAAGUCCUGGUACUCCUCGUAGACGGUGUACUUAGGGUGCCAGCGAUAACCCAGAUAGGUCAUCAUCUCAGCUAGCACAGCAGGUGAUCCUGAGGCACCAAUGGCCGUCGUGUGGCGAACGACCUGCCUCGUUGGUUCCAUCUGAAAGCAAAGACGUUUCAAAGGAGUCAAAUGACAGUGUGUGAAUUGUUCAAAAUACUAUUCUAAGAAACAACUAUGGCUUAUCCAACUUUGGGGUGAAUGCGGUCACGGGAUCCUAGUGUUAGAGUUAGUAAAUUCGUUUAACCCGAGUAGAAGAGAGUUCAGAGUCCCAGAGUAAAGGUCGAGGAGUAAAAGAUCCUAGUACCACCCAAUGGCGACGUGGGCCCGUAAGACACACAGCCAUGUUAGUAAAAGUUUUGUAAUGUCUAGACUCGACUUCGGCCAAGGAGUGUGGAAAGGGGGAUUCCUACAGGCAGCCGGCUCUGAUACCAACUUGUGACGCCCCCGAUUUGACCGUACACUAAUCAUGCACGCAAAUGUGUACGAUCAAGAUCAGGGACUCACGGGAAGAUAUCACAACACAACUCUAAAACAUAAAUAAGUCAUACAAGCAUCAUAAUACAAGCCAGGGGCCUCAAGGGCUCGAAUACAAGUGCUCGAUCACAGACGAGUCAGCGGAAGCAACAAUAUCUGAGUACAGACAUAAGUUAAACAAGUUUGCCUUAAGAAGGCUAGCACAAACUGGGAUAUAGAUCGAACGAGGCGCAGGCCUCCUGCCUGGGAUCCUCCUAACUACUCCUAGUCGUCGUCAGCGGCCUGCACGUAGUAGUAGGCACCUCCAGUGUCGUAGGUGUCGUCAUCGACGGUGGCGUCUGGCUCCUGGACUCCAACAUCUGGUUGCGACAACCAGAUAGAAAGGAAAGGGGGAAAAGAGGGAGAGGAGCAACCGUGAGUACUCAUCCAAAGUACUCGCAAGCAAGGAGCUAUACUACAUAUGCAUGGGUAUAUGUGUAAAGGGGCAUAUCAGUGGACUGAACUGCAGAAUGCCAGAAUAAAAGGGGGAUAGCUAGUCCUAUCGAAGACUACGCUUCUGGCCAUCUCCAUCUUGCAGCAUGUAGAAGAGAGUAGAUUGAAGUCCUCCAAUUAGCAUCGCAUAGCAUAAUCCUACCCAGCGAUCCCCUCCUCGUCGCCCUGUUAGAGAGCGAUCACCGGGUUGUAUCUGGCACUUGGAAGGGUGUAUUUUAUUCAGUAUCCAGUUCUAGUUGUCAUCAGGUCAAGGUACAACUCCGGGUCGUCCUUUUACCGAGGGACACGGCUAUUCGAAUAGAUAAACUUCCCUGCAGGGGUGCACCACAUAACCCAACACGCUCCAUCCCAUUUGGCCGGACACACUUUUCUGGGUCAUGCCCGGCCUCGUAAGAUCAACACGUCGCAGCCCCACCUAGGCUCAACAGAGAGGUCAGCACGCCGGUCUAAACCUAUGCGCGCAGGGGUCUGGGCCCAUCGCCCUAUGCACACCUGCACGUUGCGUACGCGGCCGGAAGCAGACCUAGCCCCCUUAAUACAAGCGCGAGCUUACGGUCCAGUGCGGCGCGCGCCACUCAGUUGCUGACGUCAAAAGAGCUUCGGCUGAUACCACGACGUCGGGAUACCCAUAACUACUCCCACGUAGAUGGUUAGUGCGUAUAGACCAAAUGGCCAAACUCAGAUCAAAUACCAAGAUCUCAUUAAGCGUGUUAAGUAACCGCGAAUGCCGACCAGGGCCAGGCCCACCUCUCACCUAGGCGGUCUCAACCUGCCUUGUCGCUCCGCCACAAAGAUCCACUCGCGGGUACUCCUACGAGCCGACCCGACUUUAGUCAUCACAUGUGUCAUGUAUAUAGUAUAUAAGUAUAUACCCAUGAUCACCGCCCAGGUGAUCACGGCCCGAUAGUAUAGCACAGCAGACGGACAAGAAUGUAGGGCCACUGAUGGAAAACUAGCAUCCUAUACUAAGCAUGUAGGAUUGCAGGUAAAGGUAACAACAGUAGUAGCAAGGAUAGGCUAUGCAUCAGGAUAGGAUAUCGAAAAGCAGUAACAUGCUACACUACUCUAAUGCAAGCAGUAUAGAGAAGAAUAGGCAAUAUCUGGUGAUCAAGGGGGGCUUGCCUGGUUGCUCUGGCAAGUAGGAGGGGUCGUCGACUCCGUAGUCGAACUGGGCAGCAGCAGUGUCGGUCUCGUAGUCUACCGGAGAGAAGAGGGGGAAGAAACAGUAAAUACAAUGCAAACAUAAGCAUGACGAUGCGUGACAUGACAAUGAGCGGGGCUAGGUGUGUCCUAACGCGACAGUAGGUGGUACCGGCGAAGGGGGGAACAUCCGGGAAGUAUUCCCGAUGUUUUCGCAUUUUCGGACAGACGGACCGGAGGGGGAAAGUUGCUAGUUCGAUAGGUUAGGGAGGUGUGGUGGACGAACGGACUGCGUAUUCGGAUUCGUCUCGUCGUUCUGAGCAACUUUCAUGUAGAAAAAAUUUUCAUCCGAGUUACGGUUUAAAAGAUAUGAAUUUUCGAAGAUUAUUUGAAUUUCUGGAAUUAUUUGAAUUUAGCAAAAAUGAAUUAUGACGUCAGCAUGAGGUAAUGCUGACGUCAGCAGGUCAACAGGUCGGCUGACCAGUCAAACCAGACAGGUGGGUCCUACCUGUCAUAGACAGUGGACUAAUCAGAAGACUAAAUUAACUAAAAUUAGAUUAAUUAACUACUGGACCCCACCUGUCAGUGCCUAAUUAGAUUAAUUAAUUAGUUUUAUUUAUAAAAACAUUUUUUUUGUUAAUUAUGCGGCGGGGCCCGCAUGUCAGCGGCUGGGGCCUGCCCAGUCAGCAGUUGACUGGGUCAACCCAGUCAACUGGGACCCACGGGGCCCACUGGCAGUGGCACUGGGGUGGCCCCAGGCCAGCCACGUCGGCGGUCGGCGUUUAAACGCCGGCGCACGCUCCGGCGACCACCAGAGACGGCGGCGUUGCGCGGAAACGGCGCACAGGGGGCCAUUUGGCCCGCGGUUUCUUCCUACGGGACGGGCGCGACGCGACGCGUUCGUUGGUGGCCGCGAAAAGUACGGGGAUGGCCGGAAACGGCCGCUACCUCGACGGCGGCGGGUGGUGCAUUCGGGCGAAGCUCGGGGUCGGCGCUACGGGGCUCGACGGAGUGCAUGGAUGGGUGCAUCUGGCCCGCACAGACGUGCUGAGCACGAAGCCGGGCUCAGCUGAGCUCGACGGCGAGCAUGGCCGCGACGGUGAAGCGCCGGGCGGCGACCGGAGCUCGGCAACGACGGCAGCUAGCUACGGAGCGCUAGGGGGCCAACGAGGAGCAGCAGGGGGAGGAGAAGCUCACCGUGCGGCACUCACGUAGGCCCUCGACGGAUUAGUAGCUGUAGGUCGGCGCCGGGGAAGAAAGGGAUCGCCGGCGACCGAAGUUGAAGACAAGCUCGGUGUGCUCGUUGUAGGGGCUCCGGUCUCCAACGGGCUGCACCAGUCGAAGCAGCGGGCGACGGCGGUCCUUGGAGACACCGUGGGGCGGCGAGGUGGGCACGGUGGCCGUGGCUAGGCCGGAGGCAUGGCGGCGGUGGCGUUCGGGCGAGGUGGGGAAGGGGAUCGGAGAGGGAGGAGAAGUGGAUCUGGGGGAGGGGAGGCGCAGUGGCGAGCGAGAGGGGCAAGUGGGAGGGAUGGGCGGAGGCCGAGGCGUCGGGGCGGCCUUAUCCUCCCCCGUCGCCGGCGAGGUGGUGCGGCGGGGACCUGCCCCUGUUCCGACUCCGGUCGGGGGAACAGGGAAGGGGAGGGCGACCCGGGGAGGUGGGCUAGGCCGGCUGGGCCUGGGGGCGGCCCAGUUGGGCCAGGGUCCAGUGGGGGGCUUCUCCUUCUCCUUUUUUUUUUCUUUGUUUGUUCUGUUUUCUUUUGUAUUUUCUUUUUAUUUAUUUAUUUUCUUUUCUGUUUUAUUUCAAUUUAAUUUAUUUAGGCAUUUUAUAAAAAUAUGUUUUCUUUAGUAUAAUUACCCUUGUAAUAUUUGGCAUGGCCCGUACAUUUUUGUUUAAAUUUUUGGAAACUUUUAUUUUCCACUUUAAAUUUAAUUUGAAGUUUGAAUUAGGAGUUUGAAAAGAAAUAUGAUUCCAAUGUGAUCAAGCCCUGUUUAGCAACAUGAUUAGCUUAAUCACAGAGAGUUACUGUAGCAUGAUUCUCGGGGUGUUACACUUGGUUACAUCACCAAUGUUGAUUCUGCCAGAUCAACGCAAGGAUUAUGAAGUGUAUUGCGACGCUUCUCGUUGAGGACUUGGAGCCGUACUUAUGCAGGAGGGAAGAGUUGUUUCAUAUGCCUCACGACAGCUUAAACCCCAUGAGUUUAAUUACGCUACCCAUGAUUUGGAGUUAGCAGCCGUAGUGCAUGCGUUGAAGACUUGGAGACAUUUCCUCAUUGGAAACCAUUGUGAGGUAUACACGGAUCACAAGAGUUUGAAGUAUAUCUUCAUGCAGAAGGAGUUGAAUCUCAGGCAGAGGAGAUGGUUGGAACUCAUUAAGGAUUUUGAUAUGAAGUUGCAUUAUCAUACCGGAAAGGCUAACGUAGUAGCCGAUGAGUUGAGCCACAAGAGUCAUGUCAAUACACUCAUGUCCGGAGAGUUACCCAAGGAGUUAGCAGAGGAUCUUCACGAGCUAUGUUUGGAGAUAGUUCCGAGAGGCUAUGUAGCAGCAUUGGAGAUUCAAUCUACUUUGAUGGAUAAGAUCAGAGAAGCUCAGAAGACGGACAAGGAGAUAGCCGAGAUAAAGGAAAGGAUGAGCAAAGGAAAGGCUAAAGGAUUUUGUGAGGAUGAGCACGAUACAUUAUGGUUUGAGGAUCGCGUAUAUGUGCCAAAUGAUCAGGAGAUCAGGAAGCUGAUUUUUGCAGGAGGCCCAUGAUUCGCCAUAUUCGAUUCACCCAGGAAAUACCAAGAUGUCUCUGGAUUUGAAGGAUAGCUUCUGGUGGACCAGAAUGAAGAAGGAUAUAGCGGAGUAUGUAGCAGUUUGUGAUGUAUGUCAGAGAGUGAAGGCAGAGCAUCAGAAGCCAGCAGGAUUGCUACAACCAUUGACGAUACCCGAAUGGAAGUGGGACAAGCUAGGCAUGGAUUUUAUCACGAGAUUGCCCAGGACUCGUUCAGGCUAUGACUCGAUAUGGGUUGUAGUCGAUCAUUUGACGAAAGUAGCUCAUUUCAUCCCAGGGAAGACCACUUACACCAGUGCUAAGUUGGCAAAGAUAUACAUGACCAGGAUCAUAUGUUUGCAUGGAGUUCCGAGGACCAUUGUAUCAGAUAGAGGAACCCAGAUUACCUCAAAGUUUUGGAAUCAGUUGCAUGAAACUUUGGGAACCAGGCUAGAGUUCAGUACAGCUUUUCACCCGCAGACAGAUGGACAGACUGAGAGAGUCAAUCAGAUUCUGGAGGACAUGUUGAGAGCUUGUGCACUAGACUAUGGAUCUAGCUGGGACCAUAAUUUGCCUUACGCAGAGUUCUCUUACCACAACAGCUAUCAAGCCAGUUUGAAGAUUACCCCUUUCGAAGCAUUGUACGGAAGGAGGUGCAGGACACCGUUGUUGUGGGAUGAAGUUGGAGACUGACAGUUGUUUGGACCAGAUUUGAUUAAAGAGUCUGAAGAGAAGGUUAAGCUGAUUCGCGAUAGACUCAAGGUAGCUCAGUCUAGGCAGAAGAGUUAUGUAGAUUCUAAACGCAAGGAGACAGUUUACGAAGUCGGAGACAGAGCGUAUCUUCGUGUAUCACCACUUCGAGGAGUGAAGUGUUUUGGAGUUAAAGGAAAGUUAGCACCACGUUUUGUGGGACCAUACAAAGUUUUGGAACGUAUGGGAGAAGUUGCUUACAAGUUGGAAUUGCCCGAAGGAUUGUCAGGAGUUCACGAUGUGUUCCACGUUUCUCAGUUGAAGAAGUGCCACGUAGAGAUGGCUGAUAUCCCUCUGAGAGAUACAGUGCCACUGGAAGCGAUACAGUUGGAUAGCGAUUUGACCUACGAGGAGAAGCCAGUCAAGAUUCUCGAGUUUGCCAGCCAAGUUACACGCAGCAAAGUUAUCAAGUUCUGCAAGGUUCAGUGGAGCCACCAUACCGAAGAUGAAGCUACCUGGGAACGAGAGAAAGACCUACGGAAGGAUCACCCUCACCUAUUUUCCAGCCAACCCGAAUCUCGAGGGCGAGAUUCAUCUUAAGGGGGGUAGGUUUGUAACAUCCCAAAUUUUCAAUUUGGAAUGUUAUACAUUAGGUCAUCAUUGCAUAUCAUAUUUUAUUGCAUUUUUGCUUGAUCCUAGAAAUUCUACGCAACUCAAGGACCCACGAAGAGAGUUGGGGAUUUCGUUAUUUUCAUAUUUGAGUUUUCUCGAAUUUUGAAAAGACGAUCGUUUGAUUUUAAUUAUUUUCUCUUCGAAUAUUUCUUUUAUGAAAAUAAAAGAGAGAGGAUAAAAUGACUUCCUCAAAAUAAAGAAAUAUUGGAGAUUUAAUAUUAAAGUCAAAUAAGAAUUUUAUUCGGAGUUUUUAUCGCUAUUUUAUUUGAAUUAGGAAAAAUAAGCGUUUUUUUCAAAAUUGCACUAGAGUCCCAAAUAAAUGUUCACCUUGUCCGGUAGAUUUUUAGAGGACGGGGAAAUUUUAUUUCAGGAUUUUUGGAGUCCGUUUAUUAUUUCUUUUAUUUGUUUUUCUGCGCGGAAUAUUUAAAAAAAAGUCAACCGACCUACGGGCCGUGCCCGAGCCAGAUUCCUUCGGCCGGGGGCUUUAUAAGCCGCAGCCCGAGCCGCCCCGAGGCCCAAGCCGCCGCCGCCAUCCCACCCCGCCGAAACCCUAACCCUGGCCCCGCCGCCCGCCAGCCCGCCGUCGUCGCCGCCNNNNNNNNNNNNNNNNNNNNNNNNNNNNNNNNNNNNNNNNNNNNNNNNNNNNNNNNNNNNNNNNNNNNNNNNNNNNNNNNNNNNNNNNNNNNNNNNNNNNNNNNNNNNNNNNNNNNNNNNNNNNNNNNNNNNNNNNNNNNNNNNNNNNNNNNNNNNNNNNNNNNNNNNNNNNNNNNNNNNNNNNNNNNNNNNNNNNNNNNNNNNNNNNNNNNNNNNNNNNNNNNNNNNNNNNNNNNNNNNNNNNNNNNNNNNNNNNNNNNNNNNNNNNNNNNNNNNNNNNNNNNNNNNNNNNNNNNNNNNNNNNNNNNNNNNNNNNNNNNNNNNNNNNNNNNNNNGCCGCCGCUCACCGCCGCCGCCGCCGCCCGACCCCGCCGGAGGUAGCCGUCGCCGCCGUCGGUUUUCGCGAGAAAACCUACCGGUUUUUUUUAGAUCUUUUUUCCGGUUUAGUUAUUUAGCGGACGCCCGUUCGUACGUUCGUCGCCGUUUAACCGGAGACAGCGAACGUUCGUUCGUUAGUCUGUUCGUCAGUUUUUCUUUUUCUCGGAUUUUUCGCGAUUAUUUUCGAUCGCGAUUUGUGAUUCGAUUUUCGUUUUAGUUUAUCUUUUCGCUCAUUUAUCGGAAUCAGGCGAUUCAAGCGCCUAGAGUUUCGUCUCGAAGCCCUCUUUCUAUUUAAUCAACUUAAACAAGUUUUUGCCACUGUAAAUUUGACUUUAGUCCAUAUUAGUAAUCGAAGCUUGUUUCUUUCGCAGUUUGAGUUUCGUUGCUUUGUUUGAUUUGAUUCUUUUUGCAAACCGGAGUUCUUAAGUUGAACUUUCUGGUUAGAUCUUCUUAUUUGAGUUUUACCCGUGCAUCUUUGCUUGAUUGCUUAUUGUAUGCUUGUUUGUUAAUGAUAGAGUACCCGGAGUGCGAAGCGUGCUACUACGAGUCUCUAGGUUUCACGGAUCAUCAGCAAGGCAAGUAACACUUUGAUCAUACCUCUUUACUACCCAAUUUUAUUGCAUUAGAUCAAUCCUCAAACAAUUGCAUGCUUAGGAUCUGAUUAAAUUGUGGGUUUGGGAAGUAGAUAAGGUAGUACCUAUUCACCUGUUUAUUAUCAAACCUAUGGGAGUUACUUCUACGUUGCUUAUAUUGCUAUGCUAUGCUCGUAGACGUGGUUUGGGUUUGAGUGUAUUCAUGACAGAUGUGAGUAUUUUUAAUUAAUGGUUAACUUAAGGUGGCAACUUUAAUACACAUCUGGGUGGAUUGAGGCACCUGGGGAACCUAGUGUUGUCUGUAUUUUUGGAAAUCCCGGGGUACCGUGUGAUUCUCCUAUGGACUGCCACCCAGGCUCAAAGGGAUCAUAAGAUUAUUCAUGCUAGAAGCUUCCAUGUGCAGCCACAUGCCAUUAUGGGCUCUGGCAUAGUUGAGUAAGUUGUGGGAAACCUUUCCAUGAUGGGCUAGCAGAUGUAGGGGAUUGUAGGUGUACAGGCCUAUCUAUCGGUUAAGGGGACCUCUUCGGAAAGACUGUGCCUCGGUCAUCCGUUUCUCAAACAUUAUAUAGUGCGAGAAAUCCAACGGAGGAGAUCGAGUCUUGUGAGGAAAAGUGCGCAAACCUCUGCAGAGUGUACAAACUAAUCAUGGUUAGCCGUGCUCCGGUUAUGGACAUCUUGAGUAUCUAGUUCUUGGAUUAUCAUGUGGAUCUCAUCACUCUUAAUAUAAUUUUGAUUGGGUUUAAUGAUGAUGCUUAAUUGGGAUUGAGUUGGGUGAACCUUCUCAAUGUUUAACAACCACCAUGAUAGUUAAAUAAAAUUUAUUCCAUUUGUUGUAGGCAAAAAUUGGCUUUCCGCAAAACAUAUUAACCAUACAGCCUCCACCAGCCAUAUAUGCAUGUAGUGAUAGUUUUAUUCUGUUCAUUACUCUUUUGUGUUGCCUUGCCAGCAUAUUCCAUGUGCUGACCCGUUUCGGGCUGCAACGUAUCAUGUUGCAGACUUUUCAGACGACGAGUAAGGAGCCAUAGGUCGUUGUCUUUCACUCAGUGAUGCCGUUGGAGUUGAUGGACUCACUUUAUCUUCCAAGCCUUCCGCUGUUAUCGUAUUAGAUGGCCUUAAGCCAUAUUUAUUGUAAUAAGUUUUUUUUGAGACAUUCGAUGUAAUAAGUGUGUGAUUGCUACUCUGUUAUAAAUCCUCAAGUACUGUGCGUGUCAGCAUUACCGAUCCAGGGAUAACACUGAUGCAUAGAGAUCAGACUAUUUGAGGUCUGGUCGCUACAUUUAUUAUUGCCUCUAUGUCAUAUUUCCUUCAGAGGGAGAGCUAGCAUGUUGGUCUAUAGGUAUUUUGAUCAUUAUAACAUGGCAAAAGAGAUGUGAGCUGACAGUAAGGGUGUCUAGUGGCAUUCUGAGCAUGCGCCUAACGAAGCGAUGGUAUUUUUGAGCAGUUGAAAUACCUAGUGGCAAAACAAAAUAAUGAGACACAACUAGUGGCAUAAAUGAUAAAAUCCCUAACCGAAUUGUGCGUACUAAAGACUUUUCACAUAUGUCCAAGGAUAAAGCGUGAGACACAAGGUUAUGUAGAAAAGACCUUUAUAGGUCUCCUUUAUGAUAAAGCAUAGCAAGUAUGCUAAUUCUACACAUAUAAUACAUACAAUGGGAGAUAUAUCACACAACUGCCAUGCUUCCAAAAACAAUAUUUUUUUCCUAACAACAUAACUUGGUAAUUUUGCUUUUAUUUAUACCAUUGUGUAAUUUGGCAGUGGGAUGGUAAGUGCACUAUCCUCUAAGAGACAUAUAAUAAAUCGGAUUGUUGGACAUAGGACGAAAUCAGUUUUCUAGAAAUUAGUCGUCCCCUAAUCAAGUAUAGCUAUUAACUAUGCUAUAUUAGCAUUUUCAAAGAAAGUGAUAAAAGGUAAGCAAUAUAUGGUACCGACGGUAGAAGGACAUGCAACACUUGGGGUUUCUACCGGAACAAAAAGAGUAAACAUGACCGAAUUGCUUAUACUAGAAGACUUCUCACAUAUGUCCAAGGAUAAAGCAUGACACACAAGGUUACGCAGAAAAUCCCUUUGUAGGUUUCCUUAUCCUUAAUGAGUAAGUAUAGCAAGUAUGCUUAUUCGUCACAUACAAUACAUACAAUGAGAGAUAUAUCACACAAUCGCCACGCCUCCCAAAGCUCAUUAAAGUAUUUUUUCCCAACAAUAUGACCCGGUAAUUUUGCUGCACCUAACGCUUCCUCAAAGAUUUUAUUUCACACCAUCGUGUAAUUCGGCAGUGAGAUGGUAGGUGCAUUGUCCUCUAGCUCGUGUUGUAGGACACAAGUUGUUUUCCAAAAGUAAGUUUAAAACAUUUCAUCCCCCAAAACCAAAAUCAAACAUGACUAACUAAUCACUUAUGUCACAUUAGUGUUUCUAGAGGCGGAGAGAAAAAAAGUAAGCAAUACAUAGUAUCAACAAUACAAGGACAUGCAACAUAUGAGUUUUAAACCCUAGAAAAGGUAGAAUUAACCGAAUUCUUCUAUUACAAAACUUCUCGGUGCGCCCAAGGAUAGAGCAUGACACACAAGGUUACACAGAAAAGACCUUUGUAGGUUUCCUUUACAAGUAAGCAUAUCUCGUCAUGUAGGAUAUGUACAAAUUGGAGACAAGAUCACAUAGUUGUCAUGUUCCCAAAGUCUUAUGGCUCACUAAUAUGUAUUUUUGCUGACCCUGCAACUGUGCUGUACACCUACUUUUUUUUUUAAAAAAAGGGUCCUGUUCGUGAGACGAUUUUUUUAGGGAAACCAGCAGAGGCGAUUUUUUAAAUCGCGUUGACGAGAGCGCUCCCAACCGUCUACCUACCCCACCACGGCACCAUCUCGUCCGUCAUGCGUGCGUGCGUGCCAUCUUUGUCACCGCGCUCGCCGCUUCCCCCCGUACGUGCGGCGCGCGAAUCCGAGCUACCGUCAUCCACACGCGGCGGCGGUUAGGAUCCGGUUCCCGAUCGGCACCGACACCGGGAGAUCCGCUCAGAAAAUGACCCGGAAAAGUUCCAAAUCUGGCGCGCGGCGAGGAGAGGGAUGGGAUGGGGGGAAAGGAAGGGGAGGCGGCUGAGCGGGA